UUGCUGUGGAUGAUGAUUUCAUAGUUCAACUGAAUUGGUGAUGUAAAAUUUUCGCCCCUAUCUGACACAAGCA
Molecule: small nucleolar RNA, 73 nt
Organism: Gigantopelta aegis
Lineage: Eukaryota; Metazoa; Mollusca; Gastropoda; Neomphalida; Peltospiridae
Product: small nucleolar RNA snR60/Z15/Z230/Z193/J17
Exons: 1
Source: RefSeq, a predicted model, not a curated record